Quercus robur (English oak) is the source of this 9365-nucleotide long non-coding RNA. RefSeq lists it as uncharacterized. NCBI's taxonomy places the organism in Eukaryota, Viridiplantae, Streptophyta, Magnoliopsida, Fagales, Fagaceae. The record is from RefSeq and is a predicted model, not a curated record. The transcript is spliced from 4 exons.
UCCAUCUCAUCACACACAUUAGUGUAUAUAUAUAAAUACUCUUCAAUUACGACAUUCAAAAUCGUCCCGCUAAACAAAAGCGAAAUGAAAAAGCGCCAAACUCCAUAGAAGCACCAGACUCGUCCAUCAGAGAUCGCGAAUCGGAGAUCCAAGCACUCAUUGUCAAAUUAGUUCCAAAAUGCACAAUUUCAAAUCCCUAAAUUUUCUCACCUAUGCGGGUUCACCUCCGUCGCAAUUCGAAUUCAAUUUCUCACUCGCUCUUCUUCUUGUUCUAGAUCGUGAAGAAAAAGCUUGAAUUCUGCAUUCACAUCCGUUUCCGAAGAUGCAUGUGAAUCUUUGAGAGUACUCGGUGGAUUCAUCUUCGAUUUCUGAGAUCUCUGGCUCUAAUCACAAUGGAGAAAUCGACAAAAGUCUUGAACUCAGUGGAUACAGAUCAUUAAUCUAAGAAGCUUCUGGAUGCACUGAUUAAUCUAACAAGCACAAGAGGUACAAGAGAUGGAAGAUAAUAUUGAACGAAUAUUUGGGCUACUUCAAGGUAGCCUGACUCGAGUCCUCCGGCACAAGAGGGUAAGUUGUUUUCAAUUGAUUGAGCUUUCUUGAUUUAAUACAGCUUUUUCAAUGUACACAUAAUAUUUACAUAAAAAAAAUAAAAACUAAUCCUAAAAGAAAGAAACAAAUAACAACAGAAAUUUAACUCAAACUCAAAGUCUAAUUGUUUUUCCAUUUAAAAAAGUAAAGGCUCCAGCUGUCCGGAGGAAUUUUUUCACACAUAACAUCUCCCUUCCCCUUUAAAUACAUCCCUUGUCCUCUAGGAAAAAAAAACUCUGGAUAUCUUUGUUAGGCUUAUUCAGCAUCUUCCCAUGUGGCAUCUGUUGGAGACAAUCCGUGCCGAUAAAUUUGAAUUUCAACCUUCCUUCCUUUGGUCUUCAAUCCAGCAUUGCUUGGGGUCAUGGGACUAACCUUCCCUGCUCUAAUCUAGGGCAACUGUGAUUGAGAAAAAACAUUCUUCCUAAGUUUCUCCUUGAGCAAUGAAACGUGAGAAACUACAUGAGUCUGAGAACUAGCAGGUAACUCCAAUUAUAAGCUAUAGCUCUAAUAAUUUUCAUAUUUUCAUAGGGUCCAUAAUUCCUUGGUGCAAGCUUUCGAUUGGCUUGUAACAACACUAAGUUGCCUUUAUGGCUACAAUCACAAAUACAUCCAAUCCACAGCUUAUUAUUCCUUUUCUUGGUGGUGCUUAUUAUACACCCUUUCCAUAUGAAUAUGAGAAUCUUUGAGACUGGUCUUAAGGGUUGUGAGGAGUUGAUCCUAGUUCAAUAGUUCUUGUUCCACUGCCUUUAUGCAUACCGUGCCAGUGACAUAAGUGAGAAAAUUGGGAGGUGGUUGGCCAUAUACCACUUCGAAGGAUGUUAUGGUAGUGCUCUACAUAAGUCAGCCAUUUUGCCCAGUCCUCGGGUUGAUAACUAGUGAAAUAUUUCAAUUACAUUUUUUAUGUCUUAUUAACAACCUCUUUUCAUCCAUUGGUUUGUAGAUGGUUAGUAGAGCUGAAGUUAAAAUCAGUCCUGUUCAAAUAAAACAGUUUAGUCCAACACAAGCUUGUAAAGGUAUCAUUGGCUUGGGAAGCGUAGCUCUGAUAUUUGGAAUUUGGUUCCAGGUUAUUCAAUGUGGACUAUUUGGACUGAACAAAAUUAGCGUUCUUUUGAGGAUAAGGGAAAAUUGUGGUUUAGUUAUUAGAUUUAUGCCAACGGACCCUCUUUAAUUGGUCUCGGUGUUGGGGUCUCUCGGAUUGUUUUACCCUUAUGGAUUUCCUUUCGUCUAUUAGAAUAGCUUAGUGGCUGCUUGUUUACUACCGUGAACUCUUUGUUUUUUCAUGCUAUUCCUUUAUUAAUAAUAUAUUCUUCUUACUUAUCAAAAAAAAAAAUGAUCAAAGAAAUUUGACCGUCUUAUCAAAAUAAAAAAAUUAAAAAAAGGGAAGAAAUUUGACCCUGUAGCCAUGUAAGGAUCGCUAAUGCAGAUAAAUGAGCAUACUUUGAUAGUCUAUCGUCUAUCCACUACUACCAAGAUAGUGGACUUACCUUUGGAUAUGGGUAGACCAUCAAUAAAAUCCAUGGAGAUAUCUUCCCAUACCUAAGUAGGAGUUGUUAAUGGUUGAAAAGACCUACUGGGUUGAGUUGCUCCACCUUAUGCUAUUGAUAAAUUGCUUACUGCCGUAUGUAGUCUUUGACAUGUUCUCUUAUGUAUUUCCUAUAAAAUUUGGACCUAACAUGGUGUAGUGUUUUUGAUAGCCUUUGUAAGUGCUUACAUGAAACUGCCUGAUGAUGUCUUGGAUUAGAGAUGAUUCGUGUUUAAGAUUGAUCUUUUCCUUAAAGAAUAAAACUCCAUUUUUUAUACUCACAAAGGCCCACGGCUUCACCUUCUUGAGUGAGGUGAACUAGCUUCUUUAGAUUGGGGUUGGAAGAAUUUUCUUCUUUAAUGGUGUCCAACCAGCUAGGGGUUGGAUGAGAUAAGGUUGCUAGCUCCGCAAUGUCUCCCUCCUGUCUUUGUGACAAGUCAUUCAUUCACACCCUUAUUCUCACUCUCUUUUUUAUAAUUAUUAGUAAAAUCAAACCUCACUAGCUACAUCCAUGUUUGCUGUGCACGGUUGGCAAUCCUUUGCGUCUAUAGAUAUUUGAGGUUCUUUUGAUCCAUUCAGAUUAUAAAUUAUCGUCCCAAUAAGUAGGGAGGCCAUUUUUGUACAUCUAACACUAAGGUAAGGAGUUCCAUCUCAUAUGUUGACAUCAAGGGAUGUUUUUCACUAAGAGCAUGACCAAAAAGGCUAUGGGUUGCUCUUGCAUUAAGACAGACCCUAUCGCAGACCUAGAUGCGUCACAUUUUACAGUGAACUUUUUGUUGAAAUUAGGUAAGGCAAGAACAGGUGUUGUAGUCAUGGCCUCUAUGAGUUGUUGGAAAGCUUGAUCAGCCGCAAGACUUCAUGUAAAUGAAUUUUUUAUUAUAGAAUUUUGUUUAAUGGAGCUGUGAUCUUGCUAUAAUUUUGGAUAAACUUCUGAUGGUAGCCCUUCACCCCAAGGAACCCUUACACGGUGGUGGUAGUUUUAGGUAUUGGCCAUUCUAACAUGGCCGAGACAUUUUGAGGGCUGACAGCUACUCCUCUUGAAAUGAUAUGUCCCUAGUAUUUCACUUCAGUCCACACAAAUUGACAUUUCUUCUUAACUAACAGUUGAUGUGACUAAAGAAAGGUGAAAGUUUUUCUUUUAAAUGAGCUAAAAUGGUCAUUCCUUGAUUUACUAAAAGCUAUUGUGUUGUCAAAGAAAAUUAGGAUGAAUCUGUUUAAGCGUGCUUAAAAUACUUCAUCCGUGAGGGCUUGGAAAGUGGAGGGUACAUCAAUGAGGCCAAAGGCGUCACUAGGAACUUGAAAUGCCUAUGCUAAAUUUUAAAAGCUGUUUUUGGAACAUUGUCUAGACAAAAACACGACCUGGAUGGUACUCACUUCAUAGACCAGAGCUUUGAAGAAUGUUGUGUCCAAUGCAAUUCAUCAACUUAUUAAUGAUUGGAAUGAGAAAUUUGUCUUUGAUGGUUAGCUUGUUCAAUGAUCUGUAAUCCACACACAUACACCAUGAGCCGUCAUGUUUUUCAAUGAGGAUUACUGGUGACAAGUUGGGGCUAUUACUGAGUUUGAUUAUGCCAGAAGUCAGCAUCUCCUUUACUAGAUGCCUGAUCUCGGUCUUCUGCCACUAUGGGUACCAGUACGGCUGCACACUUACUGGUCCACUACCAGGCUGCAUGGAAAUUUUAUGAUCAUGACUUUUGGGGAGGGGUUAGGGCACUUGGAGCUUGAGGCAACCUGGAACUUUUCCAAUAACAGAUGUAAUCCUCAGCAAACUGGAGGGGGAAGAAUUUUGAGGACUGCCCUCUAUUUGAAGCAAAACCCCAUGCCUCUAAUUUUCUGUAACCUAGCAGAGGUGCAGUUCCUUCACAAUUCUGUCUACUACUUGAGAUUAUCCUUUUAGUACAAUCUCUCUUCCAUUGAUGUUGAACUUCAUCCACAGUCUUGAAAAGUCUCACAAAAUCUCACCUAUAGAUUGUAGCCACUGUAGUCUCAAGACUAUGUUUUAGCCUUCUAAGGGAAGAAUAAAGAAAUCUACAUGGGUAGUAAAUCCAUAUAAUUUUAAUGGCACACAUUAAGAAAUCUGCAUGGGUAAUAAAACCAUGAAAUUUUAACAGCACACACUUCCACUGACCUUCACUUUUCAAUUCCUCCUUGGAAGCUACCAGUACCUUAAGCCUUCCUUUUGUGUUUGGUGUCAAUUUGGUUUUAUUGGCCAAAUUCUCACUCACAAAGUUCUGAGUGCUGCUAGAAUCAACCAAACACCAAGGGUGUCAUGUGCUUGUGUUGUCCUUGAAACUGCAUGAUGUUUGGUGCAAGAGCUCCACUUAUUGUGUGAAGAGAAAUCCCAGGCACCACCUCUUCACUUCCCAUCUCAAUUUCCAUAUCCACCUCUUGAUUGUCUUCCUUGGAACAUGCUUCAAUCAAGAACAACCUUUUGCCUAGGUGGCUUGGGUUAUACUUUCAUUGCAGUUGAAACAUAGCCCUUUCUCCCUUAUUUUCUGCAACUUGAUGAAAGUCAUUCGCCUUAUGGGCAGGGUUGGUCAUGCGGACGGACCUCCUUUUUCUUGAGUGGCAUUAGUUGUCACAAUGGUUUGGAAAUUCUAUCAUUGAGACAUGUUUGUAGCCUCAUGUAACCUGGCCAACCCAAUGACUUGGGUUAACGUGGUAGGCCUUCCUGCGAGAAUGUCUACUUCAAUGGUGUUCUUCAGUCCAUUGGUAAAACAGCUCACCUGCUGUCCUUGUGGGGAGAUGGACAAAUUUAGCCAACAGUUUUUAGAACUGUGUUUGAUAGUCCUUGAUUGUGCCACUAUGCUUCAAUUUGGUUAACCAUCCAAAAUAAUCUACAUAUUGUGUUGGAUUGUAACUGAGAGGUCCAUCUUUAAAUCCACCCUAAGAAAUCGUACCCAUAUCUUGUUUAAUCAUUUGAAACUGAAGUUGAGCACCCCCUUCUAAAUGAAAGGAUACUAGAGCAACUUGGUCUUCAAUGGCGUGGAGCUGUAAGAACUGCUUUGCUCAACAAAGCAGACUUGUGGGGUCUUCCUCGCCAUUGAAGCAAAGGAAGUAGAUUUUAGCCAUUUUGGGGACAUAAGAAUGUUGUGUCACCUGUCUUGUUGCUUUGUCUGAUUCUUGCUUAGUGUUAAUCUUAGGAAAAAGCUUUGAUAUGCGCUCGAGAAUCUGUUGUUGACCUGUAAACAAAUAGCUCACAGUGUGAUUAAGUGCUCCACCUUUGGUCCAUACCCAAGCAGCUCUUAUGCAUUGUACAAUGGAUUGUUGUUCCCUCUUUUGACAGAUGGUAGAUAAUAUUGAACAAAUAUCUGCGCUACUCUACUUUAAGGGAGCUUGAUUUUAUUAAUGCUUGAUAUUAUGCAGCUUUUCCAAUGUUCACAUAAUGUUUACAUAUUGAAAAAUCUGAAACAAAAUCAACUACUAAUCUUAAAAGAAAGGAACAGAUAACAAUAGAAAUUUAACAUAACUCAAAAGUCUAAUUGUUCUGCAUUAAAUCAGUAAAGGCUCCAACUGAAACACAUAACAUUUAUCCCUCUGCAUAGUGUUCUGGAAACUGCACUCUAAAGUUUCUUUGCGUUCCUUUUAUGACAUGUCUGUCAUAUUGAACUGAAACAGCUUUUUUAAGUCGCUACUCUAACUAGAUUGUAGGUAACCAUAAAUAUGCUUAAUGUAUAUCAAUCCUGGUUUGUUGGGCCACAAUAGGUUCAUGUAGUAUGUAGACUGGAUCGGGCCUAAGUCAAUAGACCUAGCCGAAGUUGAAGUGACUUCAUUAGUUACUGACAUCCAGCAGGGAUAGUGGAAUGCUUCCAUCUUAACAUGUGUCCGACCAGUCUAAUCUGAAUAUCUGAUGCUUACAUGUAACAAUGAUAACAUCCACUUUGCCAAAGUGGCCUUUUAACACAUGAUUUCUUAAGGAAAUGUGAAGAUGUAUUCAGUCCGGGGAUAACUCGGAGAGGUCUGCUGGCAAAGGCAUGUCCUCCACAUUCCAUUUGUCCUUCACUGAUUUGAUGAUCGCAGUCUAGUCAAUAGUCUAUGAUGAGUGGUGUUGUUUGUUGUCCAGGAACAGCUUUGUUUUCUGAAGAGGACUAUUUAUGACAUAAACCGUCCACAGAGAAUUACAAACAUAAAGCUGUUUUAAACACUGACUUAUGCCCACACACAGUUAAAUAUGUUUGCAUUUGAAGUUAUACCACGAGGAUAACUAUAUACUAUUACUAAUAAGUUAGAAAAUUAAUGUUUGUGAUAAUUCACCAAAAUUCUUGAGCACCCAGGAUUAUCUCUCUACUAAUUUGAUUGUCUAUUUUGUCAUUUAAAAUGUCAUUUAGUAGUUGAAGUGUGACUUGUCCAAUUUGUCUGUGACAGUCUCUAUAAAAAUGAUCAGCUGAUUGACCCUGGUUAUAGGUGCAGAUGCUUCAAUGUAAUGAGAGAGAGAGAGAGAGAGAGGUUCAACCAAGAUGAUGCCUUCAAAAAUAUAUGAUCGAAAUGAUAUCUUCAAUAUGAGAAGUAUAUGAUCCAAGCAGACACAUCAUCCAUACAUGAUAAAUGUUACUGUAAAGAAAUCAUAGUGGUAGACUGGUAGCUAGGGACAUGAUAUGGAGGGUUCAAGUAAAACCAGUCAAACAGAAGCAGUCAAAAAAGGCUUUCGAAAGUAAAGAAUAAACUAGAGAAAGGAUUCCUUAUCCUAGUUUAUGGUAGGGAAAAAUGUGCUAAGAAAAGCUAAUGGUGGUCUUUCAGAUGCAUCGUCCCAGUCCUUAAAAAACUCAGUAGCUGCCACAUGGUUUAUCCCUGUAGUUAAUUACCUUGUUUUUAAUGAUGUAAAAGGGCACCAAGCAUGACCUUUGUAGGUUCCUUUAUGGAAGUAGUUAAAACUUACUUGAUGGGGAUGAGAAAGAAUCUGAAUGGAUAAACAGUUAUACACACCAGGAGAAAUUUUAUAGGCUCUCUUUCUCGGAAAGUGAUUUUUUGAAGGGACAGAUAAGAAUCUAAUUUGACAGUUAAAAACUUGAUGGGUCAAUAAAAGAAGCUAUGAAACACACUAGUAGGAAUCAGAGAGAGGGUGGGUGGUGGGGUAGCUGCAGUUAAAAGCUAAUGAUUUAGUGUAAUCCACAAUAAUAUUUAAGUUAAUAAAUAAGAGAGUAAAACAAGAUCUAGCUGUACUUAAAGCCUUAAAGGUAAGGAUUUGGUGUAAUCCACCAAAUUUGAACUGUUGAAUGAGAUUCUAAAACCUGUGUAUUGUGUAUUUGAGAGAGAUGAGUAGAGGCCAAUGGGCUGUAACCCAAAUGGCACUUCCAACACCCCUAGAAAUGGGAUGGUGGGUAUGAUGUUGCAGGUUCUAAUCCUUCAUGGUGCGUGAGUUAGAUAACUAGAAUAAUGGUUUUGUAUAAUCCAGGAAAGUAAAGCUAUUAUGUGGGCUUCUAAUACAAUCUUUGGUACAUGAAAGAUGGUAAUGAUAAAUAAAAUGUCUUCCCAAUGAAAAGUAAAUGGAAUAAACCAUUUCCUAGUGCCUAAUAAAAAUGAAUUUGCUCAACUAUGUUUCUGUAACAUUUGAAGGCACAAAUUCAUGAGUGGAAAUGAAAAUAGGUAAAAUUUGGAAGCAUGGCUUUUGAAAUUUAUGCGUCAAUUAUAGAAUCUACAACAUAGCUUUUCUAAGUCUGAAAUAGGCAGAUUAGCAGUGAACACAUCCAUGAUCUGAAGUUCUAAACAUCCUAAAUUGGUUUUUAGAGUAAUUUGCAGACCUUUACAGAAACAUGUAACGUCAAAGAAAAAUUUUAUUCAUGUAUUUACAUAUUCUCUUGGGAAAAAUAUAGAAUACUUUGAGAGUACCAUCUGUGUGUGUGUGUGUAUUUAUUACAAUAAACAAAUCCUUUGGAAGCACUUAGCUGGGUAUUUCGAGAUAUGUUUAGGGCAUGCUUAGUCACAGACACAUUGAUUAUUAUGAUGCUUAUAUACCAUCUUGCCUUGACAUUUAACUCAUUAAAGCAUCAGCAUGCAUUUGAAUUUGAGAAUAAAAUCCUGUGGUCCUUGGAAGGUUAUGAAAAUUGCAUUAUCUUCAAUUCUUCAUGAUAGUUUUGGAAAGCAUGCUGUGAAGAUGUAAUUGUUCUACCUUCCCCACUUAAAUUAUAUUGCUAGUAAAUUGUCUUGCCAGCUCAGUAUCACCUAGAAAGCACAUAAGAAGCAUACAGUGCUCCUUUUUUCUACCGUUAUUUGAGGGUGUUUAUAUACAUGCUGUGACUUAGUAUAGGGCUAUCAUUACGAUUUUAAGAAGGAAAAUGCCAAAGCUACUCUACUAACUUUACUACAAAAAGCUUACAAAUUGAACUGGUAAUGAAUUGGUGCCACAUUAACUAUAUAUUAGAUAAAUUUCUUAAUUACCUUUUGCUUUGUGAUUUAAAAGUUGACGUAUCAAUUUGUAAGAUUUAUGCAGUAAAAACUAUAAUAAUUGUAGCGUCACUCUUUUAAGAAUAUAUGUGACUUUGGAUGCUGCAUAUGCUGUAAUGCUUAUCCUGUGAAAGGCAGCCCACAGACUAAUUAUACUCCAGAUGAGUUAAAUGAAAGGUUUGGAAAAAAAAAAUAUAGAUGCUUAGCUAAAAAGUAGAUGAUUGUGGGUUGAAUUUUUCUGAAGUUGAUUCCUGCUGUCAUAUUCUGAUCUCUAAAUAGGGAUUUGUUCUGGUUUAUAAAAAGAAAACAUUUUGAUCCUGGUUUGAGCUUCGAUCCUUCAGAAAACUUGAGUAUUACUAUGGCUAUCUCAUAGGAUAUGAGGAUAUCCAGCAAUGAUUCCUCACUUCAGACAGUACACAACUACGACCAUAGUAAGGUAUCAUUCAGAUUUAUGGAAUGCAGGUUUUCUGAAUCAUCUUCAAUCAACCUUCAACAUCCGUCUACAAUAAAUAGUAUACUUUCUGGUGCUCUUUAAUGUUGUAUCACUUUUUGAUACUGUUGUUUUAUUGUGUCUCACACAAGGGAGGCAAUGUCACUUGAGCAUCAAUAAUGCCCACUUGCCCAGUAAUGUUCCAGUUUCUCCAAGAAUAUUUUAAGGUUUCUCAGUAAAAUGUCCCUACUAAUAUUCACAUGGUACCAUGAUUUUGAUGAGAAUAAGGAUUAGGUUCAUGAUUAAUCAAAAUUUUAGACAAAUUAAAUAAAAAAUUAUACUGCCAUUUAGAACUUUUUCUUUAUCUCAAAGUCUGGUUGUUAACCUUUUAUUUGUGUUAACUUUGUUUGUAUAUUUAAAAUUAAAUAAUAAUUGUUUUGCUUGAAA